UAAUAAGUGUUUAUGGCACUUUUAAAUCCAUAUCCACCUUGUGUGCAAUGUCAGGUCCGAUUUUCUUUAUGAAGAUCGGCCAAACAUCAACUUAUUUUUAACUUCUGUCUGAAAACUAUUAUGAAUAAACAAUUCAAAUA
This 140-nucleotide unclassified non-coding RNA is filed under the name soil metagenome. RNAcentral's name for it is "partial internal transcribed spacer 1". The record is from RNAcentral.